This is a long non-coding RNA of Herpailurus yagouaroundi (jaguarundi), 1115 nucleotides long. RefSeq lists it as uncharacterized. The record is from RefSeq and is a predicted model, not a curated record. NCBI's taxonomy places the organism in Eukaryota, Metazoa, Chordata, Mammalia, Carnivora, Felidae. The transcript is spliced from 2 exons.
GCCAUUUCUUAACAUGAGAAUUCCAAACAUCGCUAACGGGCUCUGGGGCAACCACACUUCGGUCUGGUUCAGCUGCCUUUGUUUUUUUUUUGUUGUUUUUUUUUUUUGUUUUUCCUUUUAGGCAACGCCCCCCCCCCCCUCCCCCAUAGCUUUCUCUAGGGUUCCUGCAACAGUAAGUGGUUUCUGAGGUUCUUUUCCGCGCUGGGCGGGAGAACCGUGCAGCUCGGUCCUCAGAGCCUGGGGCGGGGGGAGGAGGGGCUUGCCGACGGUAAAUAUUGACCUCAGCAAAUCACCACCGCCCGCCAAAGACUGCCACUAGGGUGCGCUAGCAAACAACACAAAAGGCACCCUUUGGUGGAUUCCUUUCUCAACCGCUUGUCUGGAAUUCAGAGCUCCGUGUGUGCGCUCCCAUUGAGGGUUUCGAAAUGCUCCGAAGUUGUUAGGCUGUCCCAAAGGAAGUCGGCUAUAAAAAUAAGCCAGCAUUUAAUCCUGCAUGAUGACCAACGUUCCGAUUAUAUUUCUAGAAGUGAUGCUGACUCAGAGCAACUAUCAACUCUUGCUGAUGCACCUUUUUGAAAUGGUCGGGCCUCGUUCCCUGUUGCUAAGCUUGUGACAAAUUUCAUGCCUUAAAGGCAUGCAUCUUUGGACCACAAUCUACAGAAGUUCUGGAAACCCAAAUUUAGGAAGGCCUGGUCCGCUCGCAGUCAGCAAUGUGAAUUAUAAGAGACACCCUGUCCGUGGAGACCUCAGAACAAAAGAAAUAAGGCUUUGUAAUCAACAGUAAACAAGGGAAUUAAACCAGCGCCAGGCCUGUGACUGUGGGGGUCAUGCCCUUGCGAGGCAAUAAAAAGGAAGAAAAAAAUAUAAAAACUGCUAUUUUUUACAAACUGGACUGCAGUCUUCAUCUGCCCUGCUGUAACAGCUAGAAGACCCCUAGUAGCCUGGAAUGAAUGUGGAGGCACCCAGGCACCUUUUGAAAAGACUUCAGUAUCCCCUCCAGAAUGUCCUGCUUUCCGGAUUCCCAGAUCCCUGUCAUCCUGGCGAGCACCAUACUCUGUGAGGAAACCAAGGUGCUGCCAGGAUCAUGUGUCAAAUAAAGGAUGGGAGGCCCAUGA